CGACGCCGCGUGGGGGAUGACGGCCUUCGGGUUGUAAACCUCUUUUACCACCAACGCAGGCUCGGGGUUUUCUCCGGGUUGACGGUAGGUGGGGAAUAAGGACCGGCUAACUACGUGCCAGCAGCCGCGGUAAUACGUAGGGUCCGAGCGUUGUCCGGAAUUAUUGGGCGUAAAGAGCUCGUAGGCGGCGUGUCGCGUCUGCUGUGAAAGACCGGGGCUUAACUCCGGUUCUGCAGUGGAUACGGGCAUGCUUGAGGUAGGUAGGGGAGACUGGAAUUCCUGGUGUAGCGGUGAAAUGCGCAGAUAUCAGGAGGAACACCGGUGGCGAAGGCGGGUCUCUGGGCCUUACCUGACGCUGAGGAGCGAAAGCAUGGGGAGCGAACAGGAUUAGAUACCCUGGUAGUCCAUGCCGUAAACGUUGGGCGCUAGGUGUGGGGACUUUCCACGGUUUCCGCGCCGUAGCUAACGCAUUAAGCGCCCCGCCUGGGGAGUACGGCCGCAAGGCUAAAACUCAAGGAAUUGACGGGGGGCCCGCACAAGCGGCGGAGCAUGUUGCUUAAUUUCGACGGCAACGCGAAAGAAACCUUACCAAGGUUUGACAUCACCCCGUGGACCUGCAGAGAUGUGGGGGUCAUUUGGGUUGGCGGGUGACAGGUGGGUGCAUGGGCUGUCGUCAGCUUCUGUCGUGAGAUGUUGGGUAAGUCCCGCAACGAGGCGCAACCCUUGUUCCAUUGUUUGCCAGCACGGUGAUGGGUGGGGGGACUCAUGGGAGACCGUGCCGGGGGUCAACUC
Molecule: ribosomal RNA, 792 nt
Filed under: Nocardiopsis sp.
Lineage: Bacteria; Bacillati; Actinomycetota; Actinomycetes; Streptosporangiales; Nocardiopsidaceae
Description: bacterial SSU rRNA
Rfam family: Bacterial small subunit ribosomal RNA
Source: RNAcentral